Long non-coding RNA from Gorilla gorilla gorilla (western lowland gorilla), 1573 nucleotides. RefSeq lists it as uncharacterized. NCBI's taxonomy places the organism in Eukaryota, Metazoa, Chordata, Mammalia, Primates, Hominidae. The transcript is spliced from 4 exons. The record is from RefSeq and is a predicted model, not a curated record.
AAAUUGAGCAAUUCACAAUAGAAUGGAUAUGGCAGCAGCUUCAAAAUUUACAAAAUAGUUGAUUAUGAUCACGUGCUACACCCUCGACUUGCUGAUGGGGCAGCGUGGAUUCAACCAGGAAUGUCCUCCUUCCUGAAUGGAUGAUGAUGGGGCAAACACAGCGUUCCGGUCACUAGACAUGUACCUCCUAUGCAGGUGGGCACACAAGACAGCUGACUAAGGGAAGAAAUGCAUGAGAAAUCUGCAAAGAGGGAAAGCCAAGAGUACCUGUAGUGUUCUGGAGGUAGCUGCACACUGACAUCCCUUCACACCCAUUGGCCUCUUGUGAAAGAGAAGGCAAUGCAUUGCCGUCGGAGACAAAGCCCAGCUGAAGAGAGGCAGUGCACUUGCUGAUGGCUUAAUGUUGCCGCUGACAUCCUUACAAAGGGAAGGAUAAUGAGCAGACUACAUCUCCUCUCCCAACCCAGCCUUCUGAGUCCUAAAUGAAGCAGAUACUAAAUGAAAAGCAGGCAGAAAUCAGCAAUGCAUCCAGCUUCUGUUGAGGGAGAUUCAGUGGAAUGAUUUUUAUAUUUUCAUGAAGAAAUUACAGUUGAAUAUUAAAACCUGGUAUUUCAGUUUAUCUGGUCUGACUCCCAUCUAACUAACCAACGUAGCCAUGGAUUUUGUAAAACUCACUUAACAAAUCAUCUUAAUUGGUACCAAAAUAGUGAUGGCUAUGGAAAUAUUGGCAUUUCUAUGUGCAUAACUGAUGUUUUUAUGAGGAUAAGAGGGAGAGAAGAAUCACAUUUCAAAGAAGCUUCUACUGAAAUAAACUAAACCAGAAGAACUAAUUGUGGCAUACUUAACAGCUUUGAGCUUUAUGUGUACACUACCUAUGUUUCCUGUUCAGCAAGUGAACGUCCCCAGGCUGGUAGGGGCAAUGUGAAGAUGAAUCUUAUAUCUCCAAUUUCUCGAAGAACAUUUAUUCAUCUUCCUGGAAUUCACUCAUUGCCAGUUCUUUUAGAAAUACUGACACAGUUAAUAGUGUCUAAUGUCGUGGACGACUGCCUUCCACCAAUGUCGUGACUUCCCACCCAAGAACCAAUGAUUUCUUUCUCUGUGAUUCAGCUCUCCACUGACCCUCAUGGGCAAGAGUGGGGUUUCAGCAGUUAUUCUUUCAACCUCUAUUGAUCAAUCGCACGAUAUAAGCCAGACACAGUUCUGGGCAGCAGGAUACAAUAGUGAACAAGACAACCCCAAAUCCCUGCUCUUGUGGAACUGACAUUUUCUCAUGGUGGGUGGGAGUUGGGGAAGAAUGAGAGAUGUUAAACGCAAAAGCAAAAUAAAAGAAAUUUUAAGAUCAUGUGAUACGGAGUGGCUGGCUGGUCAGGGAUAGCCUCUCCAGGACUGGGACAUUCAUGGGAGUUGACAUGUGAAUUAUGAGAAGAAGCCGACAAUGCCAAGAUCACAUGGCAACAUGUUUCAUGCAAAAGAAACAGCCAGCAUGAAGGCUGUGAGCUGGGAACAAGACCGGCUCAGGUCAAGGGACAGACAAAAAGGCCAACAAGGCUGAAAAAUAAUAAGGAAGAGGAGA